CCUACGGGUGGCAGCAGUGAGGAAUAUUGGACAAUGGGGGAAACCCUGAUCCAGCGACGCCGCGUGAGUGAAGAAGUAAUUCGUUAUGGAAAACUCCAUCAGCAGGGAAGAAAAUGACGGUACCUGAGUAAGAAGCCCCGGCUAACGACGGGCCAGCAGCCGCGGGAAUACGCAGGCGGCAAGCGUUAUCCGGAGUUACUGGGUGUAAAGGGAGCGUAGACGGGUGUUCAAGUCUGGAGUGAAAGGCGGGGGCUCAACCCCCGGACUGCUCUGGAAACUGUAAGGCUGGAGUGCAGGAGAGGUAAGUGGAAUUCGUGGUGUAGCGGUGAAAUGCGUAGAUAUGAGGAAGAACACCAGUUGCGAAGGCAGCUUACUGGCCUGUAACUGACGUUGAGGCACGAAAGCGUGGGGAGCAAACAGGAUUAGAUACCCCUGUAGUC
RNAcentral lists this ribosomal RNA (440 nucleotides) under uncultured bacterium. RNAcentral describes it as "partial 16S ribosomal RNA". It matches the Rfam family "Bacterial small subunit ribosomal RNA", at positions 338 to 795 of the family's 1533-position model. The record is from RNAcentral.